RNAcentral lists this ribosomal RNA (253 nucleotides) under uncultured bacterium. RNAcentral describes it as "partial 16S ribosomal RNA". It matches the Rfam family "Bacterial small subunit ribosomal RNA", at positions 524 to 776 of the family's 1533-position model. The record is from RNAcentral.
UACAGUGGUCUCAAGCGUUGUUCGGAUUCAUUGGGCGUAAAGGGUGCGUAGGCGGCGCGGUAAGUCGGGUGUGAAAUCUCGGAGCUUAACUCCGAAACUGCAUUCGAUACUGCCGUGCUUGAGGACUGGAGAGGAGACUGGAAUUUACGGUGUAGCGGUGAAAUGCGUAGAUAUCGUAAGGAAGACCAGUGGCGAAGGCGGGUCUCUGGACAGUUCCUGACGCUGAGGCACGAAGGUCAGGGGAGCAAACAGG